AGUGAACGCUGGCGGUAGGCCUAACACAUGCAAGUCGAACGGCAGCACAGUAAUAGCUUGCUCUUACGGGUGGCGAGUGGCGGACGGGUGAGGAAUACAUCGGAAUCUACUUUUUCGUGGGGGAUAACGUAGGGAAACUUACGCUAAUACCGCAUACGACCUACGGGUGAAAGCAGGGGAUCUUCGGACCUUGCGCGAUUGAAUGAGCCGAUGUCGGAUUAGCUAGUUGGCGGGGUAAAGGCCCACCAAGGCGACGAUCCGUAGCUGGUCUGAGAGGAUGAUCAGCCACACUGGAACUGAGACACGGUCCAGACUCCUACGGGAGGCAGCAGUGGGGAAUAUUGGACAAUGGGCGCAAGCCUGAUCCAGACAUCCCGCGUGGGUGAAGAAGGCCUUCGGGUUGUAAAGCCCUUUUGUUGGGAAAGAAAAGCAGCAGGUUAAUACCCCGCUGUUCUGACGGUACCCAAAGAAUAAGCACCGGCUAACUUCGUG
This 492-nucleotide ribosomal RNA is filed under the name uncultured bacterium. Its description in RNAcentral is "partial 16S ribosomal RNA". It matches the Rfam family "Bacterial small subunit ribosomal RNA", at positions 29 to 507 of the family's 1533-position model. The record is from RNAcentral.